Long non-coding RNA from Zea mays, 152 nucleotides. RefSeq lists it as uncharacterized. The record is from RefSeq and is a predicted model, not a curated record. Lineage: Eukaryota; Viridiplantae; Streptophyta; Magnoliopsida; Poales; Poaceae. The transcript is spliced from 2 exons.
AUGCUCUAUGUACUAUUCCAGGCUGAGGCUGGUGGUUCCCCUGCCUUAAUAGCUAGGGGAUUUGGAAGUGGACAGCCUGGAUCAGAGCAAUUUGAGAUGACAGUUCCUGAUAACAAGGUCGGUCUCAUUAUCGGAAAAGGUGGUGAGACAAU